Rhodamnia argentea is the source of this 163-nucleotide long non-coding RNA. RefSeq lists it as uncharacterized. Lineage: Eukaryota; Viridiplantae; Streptophyta; Magnoliopsida; Myrtales; Myrtaceae. The transcript is spliced from 2 exons. The record is from RefSeq and is a predicted model, not a curated record.
UUUCGAACAUGACAUCCUACCCAAGUUGUUAAUCUUUGAUCCCGACUAGAGAGAGAGAGAGAGAGAGUACACAAAAUCUUCCGCAGGCAACAAGAAUAUGAAUUAUGAAACAGGUAUGAACUCAAGUAUGGCGGCUGACAUGGACACCAAGCUAAUGAAGCCA